RNAcentral lists this unclassified non-coding RNA (312 nucleotides) under plant metagenome. RNAcentral's name for it is "partial contains 5.8S ribosomal RNA, internal transcribed spacer 2, and large subunit ribosomal RNA". The stretch from base 1 to 105 matches the Rfam family "5.8S ribosomal RNA", at positions 50 to 154 of the family's 154-position model. The record is from RNAcentral.
GAAAUGCGAUAAGUAAUGUGAAUUGCAGAAUUCCGUGAAUCAUCGAAUCUUUGAACGCACAUUGCGCCCUCUGGCAUUCCGGGGGGCAUGCCUGUCCGAGCGUCAUUACGCACCCUCAAGCCCGGCUUGUGUGAUGGGCCCCGGCGUCUCGUUCGCGAGACGGGCCCGAAAGGCAGCGGCGGCGUCGACCCGAUGAGCCCGAGCGUAUGGGGACUUCUGUCACACGUUCGCGGUGCGGACCGGCGCCUGCUUGACUUUUCUGAUUAUCCAGGUUGACCUCGGAUCGGGUAGGGAUACCCGCUGAACUUAAGC